RNAcentral lists this long non-coding RNA (958 nucleotides) under Bos taurus (domestic cattle). RNAcentral's name for it is "long non-coding RNA NONBTAT025067". Lineage: Eukaryota; Metazoa; Chordata; Mammalia; Artiodactyla; Bovidae. The record is from RNAcentral.
UUUGCAUACAUGAUAAAGUGUUCACACCACUUUCUAAGUACAUAAUGUUAAAAUUUUGUGACCAGAUAUUAAAAUAUUAAUAAGCAGCAGACUGAUACUAAAAUGGGUAUAAUCUGAAUUACUUAGAAGCUAGUAGUAUAUCAGAGCCCUUAAAAGUAAAAAUGUUUCAUUCAAUAAUUUAACUUUUAGAAUAUUCCUAAUUAGGGAUUUGAUUAGAUUGUACCAUUUAAUUUGAGAAUAUUUAGUCUCAAGGGAAAAACUGCCUGGCUUUCAUUUAAAAUAGGGGCCUUUUUCUAUCAUGCUGGUUUUGAAAGGUAUAUUCACAUGUAACAGUAUCAGUUCUACAUUUAAUCUAUAAAUAACUUAUGAGAGAAUUGUUCAGUGGAAAGAAGUAAGAGAGUGCCAUUCAUUUUGCAGAUAAAAAUUACAAACACCUAAAUUUUUUUUCUAUUAAGAAUAUUUUGUACAUUCAGUAGUUUUAAAAUAAGAUCUAUAGGUGUGUCUUUAUGUGUGUGCUAGACAUGAAACAGCCCUCUGGGUUUGACUCUGAUGUGUUGUAUUUUAAAAACCUACUAUGUGCUUGCAGAAACUUACUGAGAAGCUAUUAUAAAAAUGCGGUGGAGCAUGGCCAAAUAGCUAGAAACUAUCGAAUUUUUGCAAUUCUAUAGACUUUAUCAUUGUACCAUGGACUGUGAGGAUACUCAGUAUUGGCUAUUGAUAAAAUACUAAUUUGCGUUUCAUGGCAAAUAGAUGUUAUACUGCUUGGUUAGUCUAGUCUAUUUCUAAUAUUUUGUGCAUUCAUAUCUCAAAGGAGAUAAUAUACGUGAAAAUAUUUUGAAAUACUAUAAAGUGAUAUAUAAUGAUAAGAUAUAUUUCUGUAAGUAGAGAAAAAGUUUAUAACAUUAAGAAUAUUAUACCAUUAUACAUUCUCAUGCUCAAUCUUACAAGAAACGGAAAA